AUUGAACGCUGGCGGCAGGCUUAACACAUGCAAGUCGAGCGGGGUGAUGGUGCUUGCACUAUCACUUAGCGGCGGACGGGUGAGUAAUGCUUAGGAAUCUGCCUAUUAGUGGGGGACAACAUCUCGAAAGGGAUGCUAAUACCGCAUACGUCCUACGGGAGAAAGCAGGGGCUCACUUGUGACCUUGCGCUAAUAGAUGUGCCUAAGUCGGAUUAGCUAGUUGGUGGGGUAAAGGCCUACCAAGGCGACGAUCUGUAGCGGGUCUGAGAGGAUGAUCCGCCAAACUGGGACUGAGACACGGCCCAGACUCCUACGGGAGGCAGCAGUGGGGAAUAUUGGACAAUGGGGGGAACCCUGAUCCAGCCAUGCCGCGUGAGUGAAGAAGGCCUUCGGGUUGUAAAGCUCUUUCGGCCGGGAAGAAAUCGCACAGGCUAAUACUCUGUGUGGAUGACGGUACCGGCAUAAGAAGCACCGGCUAACUACGUGCCAGCAGCCGCCGUAA
This 502-nucleotide ribosomal RNA is filed under the name uncultured bacterium. Its description in RNAcentral is "partial 16S ribosomal RNA". It matches the Rfam family "Bacterial small subunit ribosomal RNA", at positions 30 to 523 of the family's 1533-position model. The record is from RNAcentral.